CUUGUACACACAACUGAGAUGUGCUGUAGUGUUCAACACCUUUUCCUUUAACAGGCUUAACCAUUGCCGCUUAAAGGCAGAAUGUUCCUUUAAAACGAUGCGUGCUCUUCGUGUGUUUAAGCUCUUCGAAAUGCUCCAUCGCAGCAUGUCGGCUUCUCAUUGAGAUUGUUCUGUUUCAAUGCCAUUUAAGUGAAAGUGACAAGACGCCACUUCCCGCACAACGUGUACACUGCAGCAAUACUAUGGGUCUCGGAUCAGCCGAAUCUCUUUUAAAAUCAGCUGCAGAAAGAAAACAUUACCAUCAUCGAAAACAUUUUCACGCCACGCAGAAACGAACGAGAUUCGGAAUGGAUGGCCAUCUCGGGUUUAUCGGAACGAUUUCUCUCUACAAAGAUAAAAGAUACGGAUCUGUUUUAUUUGAUGUCAGUCCUACCACAGGACGGGAGGAGAACUGAUGGAAGCUCUUGCUGCAGACAGUGUGAGAAGCCCAACAAGUGCAAGAUCAAGAUCAAGAGAAAAAUCUCCCACAGAAUUCACUCAGAGGAGAAGAUCAUAACCUGUGAUCUGGUGUGAGAUGCUUUCGAUUCUGUUCUUUUUACUGCUCUGUAUUACCAGAAGCUGAUAUGCCGCAUUUUAACCAAGUAUUCCUUGUUGUUUGCUGGUGUUUUCUUUAUUAAAAAUCACCAGAUAUUUCUGGACUCCUGCACUCUAGCAGAGCAUAAGGUUGUUCAUGUAAGUAUUUUCAGCAUAUGAAUAUACAGCAGCUUCUGUAUUUUAAUGAAUGACAAAAAUCCCCCCAAAACAGAACAUUUCAAAAGAAAUGCUAAGAGAUUAUUAUAAAUUAUGAUUACGCAAGAUGAUAAUCUGUUGCUAGUCUAAAAAAAAUACUUUAACAUUCCAGUUAACAUAACGGGCUACUACAAACAUCGAAUUCUAAACCAUUAAAGUGAUUUAUUUGAUACUUCAGACUAUAUUAGGUUAUAACUGUCUUCUAAGUGUUUAAUUCUUUGGUUUAGUACUGUAUAGUAUGUCUCUUAAAACAUAAAAUAUUUUCAAAACAAUGAAAUCCUGUUAAAUUGCUAACACAACUCAAAGGUUAAAAUAAUGCAUAAUCAUAAAGAUUUAAUUAUUUAACUAAGUGCACAAUUAAUAUACAUUUAAUUUUGUAAUUUUUGGGGAGUAGGACCAAGUUCUCUAUAAAAAUAAAAAUGCAGUUAAUUGGAUAUUUUUGCUUUAAUACAAAAAUAGAAAGGGAUAUGAGACAGAACAGCUUUUGUAAAAUUAUUCCCAAUUUUUUAGACAUAACCACGUCUUUUUAGUUUUAGUAAUUAAUAUGCAUAAUCAAAAUAUUCAUUCAGAUUUCAUCAUAUUUUUUAGAAGUGUUCAUACCAAGGCAUAUUAGUGUUCUUAACAUCUACAAAAAACAUGUGACAGUCGAGCUGUGACAAAUACAACUGGUUAUGGUUCAAGCAAGACAAGGCACAUUAGAUGGUGCAUUGUCACUCGUAAUCUGAGUGCUGGAGUGCCCAGGCUUUUGGAUUCGUACUUAAAUUCAAGGUGAUAACAUCAAUCAUUAAGUCUUAUGUUGGCAACAGAUAGGUUAGCAUCUGGAUCCUUGUGCAGUGCCUGUGGAAACAUGUGUAGGUGGAGCUACUGUUGUGGCAGUUUGUUGUGUGAGAAAUUGAUUCUCGGCAUGUGCUCAAAGAAUCGUUUAUUCGGAGAUAGCAACCAUUAAAACAGCAGGAUUCUGAGACAGUCUCAGACUUGCCAGAUUUAGUAACUAGUGUAGGAAAUUUGAAUAAAGAAAAAUACUCUGUAAGCAGUCAGAUAAUUCUGCAGAUAAUCUCUUAAUUUUAGUAUGGGCAUUGUGCUCUCUUAAUUGCUUUAACUGUUAGUGCACAGAGGUCUUUCCAGUUUUUUAGCUGAAGAGCUCAGAGACAAAGUAAUGAUAAUUUUUGGGAGAAAAAUGGAAUGAGGAACUAAAUGGGAUGGGAACUAAACAGUAAUAAGUAUCACAUUCAAGAAAGCUGGUCUGACACUAUAACAAGCUAAACAACAAAAAUAUCCUGUCUGAAUUAUCUUUCUAAUAUUGAAAAGUUUGGAACAAGAUAACUUGUUUCAUCUACCAGGCAAACUGGUUUUUAUUUCAAUCUCUACCUUCAGUCAACUGGAAAAAAAUAACAAAAAUUCAGUUCAGCUCUUUAUUUUUGACCAUACUAGAAGCUAUUUUUUUAAUUAACCAAUGUUGAAUUAACUCAUAAAAGGAAAAAGGAAGCUUUCAAACAGCAAAGACAUCAUUUUUAACAGUGACUGUGAACAUUGAUGAGACAGAAUAAUUAUACUGAUGCACAAUGAAAAUGCAGUGUGAUGUCGGUGACCCAUUAAGCACAUAAUUGAUUUUAUUUAUGUUUUAA
RNAcentral lists this long non-coding RNA (2414 nucleotides) under Lepisosteus oculatus (spotted gar). Its description in RNAcentral is "lncRNA (ENSLOCG00000022384.1)". The record is from RNAcentral. Lineage: Eukaryota; Metazoa; Chordata; Actinopteri; Semionotiformes; Lepisosteidae.